This 2870-nucleotide ribosomal RNA is filed under the name Enterobacter cloacae. RNAcentral's name for it is "partial 23S ribosomal RNA". It matches the Rfam family "Bacterial large subunit ribosomal RNA". Lineage: Bacteria; Pseudomonadati; Pseudomonadota; Gammaproteobacteria; Enterobacterales; Enterobacteriaceae. The record is from RNAcentral.
GGGUUGUGAGGUUAAGCGACUAAGCGUACACGGUGGAUGCCCUGGCAGUCAGAGGCGAUGAAGGACGUGCUAAUCUGCGAAAAGCGCCGGCGAGGUGAUAUGAACCCUUGACCCGGCGAUGUCCGAAUGGGGAAACCCAGUGUGAUUCGUCACACUAUCGUUAACUGAAUACAUAGGUUAACGAGGCGAACCGGGGGAACUGAAACAUCUAAGUACCCCGAGGAAAAGAAAUCAACCGAGAUUCCCCCAGUAGCGGCGAGCGAACGGGGAGCAGCCCAGAGUCUGAAUCAGCUUGUGUGUUAGUGGAAGCGUCUGGAAAGUCGCACGGUACAGGGUGAUAGUCCCGUACACGAAAAUGCACAGGCUGUGAACUCGAAGAGUAGGGCGGGACACGUGGUAUCCUGUCUGAAUAUGGGGGGACCAUCCUCCAAGGCUAAAUACUCCUGACUGACCGAUAGUGAACCAGUACCGUGAGGGAAAGGCGAAAAGAACCCCGGCGAGGGGAGUGAAAAAGAACCUGAAACCGUGUACGUACAAGCAGUGGGAGCACCUUCGGGUGUGACUGCGUACCUUUUGUAUAAUGGGUCAGCGACUUAUAUUCUGUAGCAAGGUUAACCGUAUAGGGGAGCCGAAGGGAAACCGAGUCUUAACUGGGCGUUAAGUUGCAGGGUAUAGACCCGAAACCCGGUGAUCUAGCCAUGGGCAGGUUGAAGGUUGGGUAACACUAACUGGAGGACCGAACCGACUAAUGUUGAAAAAUUAGCGGAUGACCUGUGGCUGGGGGUGAAAGGCCAAUCAAACCGGGAGAUAGCUGGUUCUCCCCGAAAGCUAUUUAGGUAGCGCCUCGUGAACUCAUCUUCGGGGGUAGAGCACUGUUUCGGCUAGGGGGCCAUCCCGGCUUACCAACCCGAUGCAAACUACGAAUACCGAAGAAUGUUAUCACGGGAGACACACGGCGGGUGCUAACGUCCGUCGUGAAGAGGGAAACAACCCAGACCGCCAGCUAAGGUCCCAAAGUCAUGGUUAAGUGGGAAACGAUGUGGGAAGGCCCAGACAGCCAGGAUGUUGGCUUAGAAGCAGCCAUCAUUUAAAGAAAGCGUAAUAGCUCACUGGUCGAGUCGGCCUGCGCGGAAGAUGUAACGGGGCUAAACCAUGCACCGAAGCUGCGGCAGCGACACUAUGUGUUGUUGGGUAGGGGAGCGUUCUGUAAGCCGUUGAAGGUGGCCUGUGAGGGUUGCUGGAGGUAUCAGAAGUGCGAAUGCUGACAUAAGUAACGAUAAAGCGGGUGAAAAGCCCGCUCGCCGGAAGACCAAGGGUUCCUGUCCAACGUUAAUCGGGGCAGGGUGAGUCGACCCCUAAGGCGAGGCCGAAAGGCGUAGUCGAUGGGAAACAGGUUAAUAUUCCUGUACUUGGUGUUACUGCGAAGGGGGGACGGAGAAGGCUAUGUUAGCCGGGCGACGGUUGUCCCGGUUUAAGCAUGUAGGCGGAGGUUCCAGGUAAAUCCGGUACCUUUUAACGCUGAGGUGUGAUGACGAGGCACUACGGUGCUGAAGUAACAAAUGCCCUGCUUCCAGGAAAAGCCUCUAAGCAUCAGGUAACAUCAAAUCGUACCCCAAACCGACACAGGUGGUCAGGUAGAGAAUACCAAGGCGCUUGAGAGAACUCGGGUGAAGGAACUAGGCAAAAUGGUGCCGUAACUUCGGGAGAAGGCACGCUGAUAUGUAGGUGAAGCCCCUGCGGGUGGAGCUGAAAUCAGUCGAAGAUACCAGCUGGCUGCAACUGUUUAUUAAAAACACAGCACUGUGCAAACACGAAAGUGGACGUAUACGGUGUGACGCCUGCCCGGUGCCGGAAGGUUAAUUGAUGGGGUUAGCGGCAACGCGAAGCUCUUGAUCGAAGCCCCGGUAAACGGCGGCCGUAACUAUAACGGUCCUAAGGUAGCGAAAUUCCUUGUCGGGUAAGUUCCGACCUGCACGAAUGGCGUAAUGAUGGCCAGGCUGUCUCCACCCGAGACUCAGUGAAAUUGAACUCGCUGUGAAGAUGCAGUGUACCCGCGGCAAGACGGAAAGACCCCGUGAACCUUUACUAUAGCUUGACACUGAACACUGGUCCUUGAUGUGUAGGAUAGGUGGGAGGCUUUGAAGCGUGGACGCCAGUCUGCGUGGAGCCAUCCUUGAAAUACCACCCUUUAAUGGCUGGUGUUCUAACGUAGACCCGUAAUCCGGGUUGCGGACAGUGUCUGGUGGGUAGUUUGACUGGGGCGGUCUCCUCCCAAAGAGUAACGGAGGAGCACGAAGGUUAGCUAAUCCUGGUCGGACAUCAGGAGGUUAGUGCAAUGGCAUAAGCUAGCUUGACUGCGAGAGUGACGGCUCGAGCAGGUGCGAAAGCAGGUCAUAGUGAUCCGGUGGUUCUGAAUGGAAGGGCCAUCGCUCAACGGAUAAAAGGUACUCCGGGGAUAACAGGCUGAUACCGCCCAAGAGUUCAUAUCGACGGCGGUGUUUGGCACCUCGAUGUCGGCUCAUCACAUCCUGGGGCUGAAGUAGGUCCCAAGGGUAUGGCUGUUCGCCAUUUAAAGUGGUACGCGAGCUGGGUUUAGAACGUCGUGAGACAGUUCGGUCCCUAUCUGCCGUGGGCGCUGGAGAAUUGAGGGGGGCUGCUCCUAGUACGAGAGGACCGGAGUGGACGCAUCACUGGUGUUCGGGUUGUCAUGCCAAUGGCACUGCCCGGUAGCUAAAUGCGGAAGAGAUAAGUGCUGAAAGCAUCUAAGCACGAAACUUGCCCCGAGAUGAGUUCUCCCUGAGACUUAAAGUCUCCUGAAGGAACGUUGAAGACGACGACGUUGAUAGGUCGGGUGUGUAAGCGCAGCGAUG